RNAcentral lists this ribosomal RNA (292 nucleotides) under uncultured Alphaproteobacteria bacterium. Its description in RNAcentral is "partial 16S ribosomal RNA". The record is from RNAcentral. Lineage: Bacteria; Pseudomonadati; Pseudomonadota; Alphaproteobacteria.
GGACUACAGGGGUAUCUAAUCCUGUUUGCUCCCCACGCUUUCGCACCUCAGCGUCAGUACCGAGCCAGUGAGCCGCCUUCGCCACUGGUGUUCCUCCGAAUAUCUACGAAUUUCACCUCUACACUCGGAAUUCCACUCACCUCUCUCGGACUCGAGAUUGCCAGUAUUAAAGGCAGUUCCAGGGUUGAGCCCUGGGAUUUCACCCCUAACUUAACAAUCCGCCUACGUGCGCUUUACGCCCAGUAAUUCCGAACAACGCUAGCCCCCUUCGUAUUACCGCGGCUGCUGGCAC